This 443-nucleotide ribosomal RNA is filed under the name uncultured bacterium. Its description in RNAcentral is "SSU rRNA". It matches the Rfam family "Bacterial small subunit ribosomal RNA", at positions 26 to 518 of the family's 1533-position model. The record is from RNAcentral.
AGAACGAACGCUGGCGGCAGGCUUAACACAUGCAAGUCGAGCGCCCCGCAAGGGGAGCGGCAGACGGGUGAGUAACGCGUGGGAACAUACCCUCCGGUUCGGAAUAGCUCAGGGAAACUUGGAUUAAUACCGGAUACGGCUUAGCGGCGAAAGAUUUAUCGCCGGAGGAUUGGCCCGCGUUCGAUUAGCUAGUUGGUGAGGUAACGGCUCACCAAGGCGACGAUCGAUAGCUGGUCUGAGAGGAUGAUCAGCCACAUUGGGACUGAGACACGGCCCAAACUCCUACGGGAGGCAGCAGUGGGGAAUAUUGGACAAUGGGCGCAAGCCUGAUCCAGCCAUGCCGCGUGAGUGAUGACGGCCUUAGGGUUGUAAAGCUCUUUCGCUAGGGACGAUAAUGACGGUACCUAGACAAGAAGCCCGGCUAACUUCGUGCCAGCAGCCGC